UCUAGCUGUUGUCCUUGGAUCCUGAGAGGUAACAACUAAACACUUGAACUUUAAAAGAGAUGCAGCCAGCUGUGUCUUGGUUGAGCAAACUCUGCUCAUCCGGUGGUCUUCAAUUCUCAGCAAUCCAAUGAGCAUCUAUACUCUGCUGUUCUCCAGUAUACCAAUUCCUGGAUUUAAAAUGAUGGCCUUCUAUAUCUCUGAGCUGACCUAUUGCCUGGCUAUCACCCAUGUAAACUGUACAUAAAAAGAGUGGAGAAAUCUUAUUUCACAAUGGGAAAAUUAUAAUCAAAGA
This 292-nucleotide long non-coding RNA is filed under the name Fukomys damarensis (Damara mole-rat). RNAcentral describes it as "lncRNA (ENSFDAG00000031539.1)". The record is from RNAcentral. Lineage: Eukaryota; Metazoa; Chordata; Mammalia; Rodentia; Bathyergidae.